GGGCUUGUAACUCAGCAGUAGAGUGCGCCGUUCGCAUCGGCGAAGCCGGGGGUGCGAUUCCCCCCAAGUCCA
RNAcentral lists this transfer RNA (72 nucleotides) under Microcaldota archaeon. RNAcentral's name for it is "Micrarchaeota archaeon tRNA". It matches the Rfam family "tRNA". Rfam says of the family: Transfer RNA (tRNA) molecules are approximately 80 nucleotides in length. Their secondary structure includes four short double-helical elements and three loops (D, anti-codon, and T loops). The record is from Rfam by way of RNAcentral. Lineage: Archaea; Nanobdellati; Microcaldota.